Paramuricea clavata is the source of this 797-nucleotide non-coding RNA. Lineage: Eukaryota; Metazoa; Cnidaria; Anthozoa; Malacalcyonacea; Plexauridae. The record is from the annotation of a GenBank genome assembly.
AGGAGGGAAAAAACACUUUUUGCAACUGUGUGAUCAGGCCUUCUGGUAAUUUUAUCAAUUUAAGGAAUUUUAAGGAAAUCUGAGGAAUUUUCGAGCUUUUUCUAAGGAAUUCGAAAAUUUGAUUGUGAGAACACUGACGGGCUUAUUUAAUACAUUUUCAUGAUGCAAACUGACAUGGACAAUAUUUUCAAUAAUGGGCUAUUCCAUUUAAUAUCCGUACCCCCCCUGUCGAGGAUCCCUGGAAUUCUUCAGGGGUAAAGGGUUUUGAGCUUGGAAUUCUUCAGGGGUAAAGGGUUUUGAGCUUGGAAUUCUUCAGGGGUAAAGUGUUUUGAGUUUGGAAUUCUUCAGGGGUAAAGGGUUUUGAGCUUGUAAUUCUUCAGGGGGGAAGGGUUUUGAGCUUGGAAUUCUUCAGGGGUAAAGGGGUUUGACUUUGAAAUUUUUCAGAGCUUGGAAUUCUUCAGGGCUGAAGGGUUUUCAGCUUGGAAUUAUUCAAGGGUAAAAGGUUUUGAGCUUGGAAUUCUUCAGGGGUAAAGGGUUUUGAGCUUGGAAUUCUUCAGGGGUAAAGGGUUUUGAGCUUGGAAUUCUUCAGGGGUAAAGGGUUUUGAGCUUGGAAUCUUGGAAUUCUUCAGGGGUAAAAGGUUUUGAGCUUGGAAUUCUUCAGGGGUAAAGGAUUUUGAGCUUGGAAUUUUGGAAUUCUUCAGGGGUAAAAGGUUUUGAGCUUGGAAUUCUUCAGGGGUAUAACCAUGAAAACCAUGUAUCCUCGACAGGGGGUGUACGGAUAUUAAAUGGAAUAGCCC